CCUACGUGCGACAGCAGUGAGGAAUAUUGGUCAAUGGGCGCGAGCCUGAACCAGCCAAGUAGCGUGAAGGAUGACUGCCCUGCGGGUUGUAAACUUCUUUUAUAAAGGAAUAAAGUGAGGCACGUGUGCCUUUUUGUGUGUACUUUAUGAAUAAGGAUCGGCUAACUCCGUGCCAGCAGCCGCGGUAAUACGGAGGAUCCGAGCGUUAUCCGGAUUUAUUGGGUUUAAAGGGAGCGUAGAUGGGUUGUUAAGUCAGUUGUGAAAGUUUGCGGCUCAACCGUCAAAUUGCAAUUGAUACUGGCAGUCUUGAGGAUAGUUGAGGUAGGCGGAAUUCGUGGUGUAGCGGUGAAAUGCUUAGAUAUCCCGAAGAACUCCGAUUGCGAAGGCAGCUUACUAAACUGCCACUGACAUUGAUGCUCGAAAGUGUGGGUAUCAAACAGGAUUAGAUACCCCAGUAGUC
Molecule: ribosomal RNA, 460 nt
Filed under: uncultured bacterium
Lineage: Bacteria
Description: partial 16S ribosomal RNA
Rfam family: Bacterial small subunit ribosomal RNA
Source: RNAcentral